RNAcentral lists this ribosomal RNA (253 nucleotides) under uncultured prokaryote. RNAcentral describes it as "partial 16S ribosomal RNA". It matches the Rfam family "Bacterial small subunit ribosomal RNA", at positions 525 to 777 of the family's 1533-position model. The record is from RNAcentral.
ACAGAGGGGGCAAGCGUUGUUCGGAAUUACUGGGCGUAAAGGGCGCGUAGGCGGCCUUCUAAGUCGAACGUGAAAUCCCCGGGCUCAACCCGGGAACUGCGUCCGAUACUGGAAGGCUUGAAUCCGGGAGAGGGAUGCGGAAUUCCAGGUGUAGCGGUGAAAUGCGUAGAUAUCUGGAGGAACACCGGUGGCGAAGGCGGCUACCUGGCCCAAUACUGACACUCAGGUGCGACAGCGUGGGGAGCAAACAGGA